GGUGAACGCUGGCGGCGUGCCUAAUACAUGCAAGUCGAGAGAACGGACGAGAAGCUUGCUUUUCUGAUGUUAGCGGCGGACGGGUGAGUAACACGUGGAUAACCUACCUAUAAGACUGGGAUAACUUCGGGAAACCGGAGCUAAUACCGGAUAAUAUUUUGAACCGCAUGGUUCAAAAGUGAAAGACGGUCUUGCUGUCACUUAUAGAUGGAUCCGCGCUGCAUUAGCUAGUUGGUAAGGUAACGGCUUACCAAGGCAACGAUGCAUAGCCGACCUGAGAGGGUGAUCGGCCACACUGGAACUGAGACACGGUCCAGACUCCUACGGGAGGCAGCAGUAGGGAAUCUUCCGCAAUGGGCGAAAGCCUGACGGAGCAACGCCGCGUGAGUGAUGAAGGUCUUCGGAUCGUAAAACUCUGUUAUUAGGGAAGAACAUAUGUGUAAGUAACUGUGCACAUCUUGACGGUACCUAAUCAGAAAGCCACGGCUAACUACGUG
This 497-nucleotide ribosomal RNA is filed under the name uncultured bacterium. RNAcentral's name for it is "partial 16S ribosomal RNA". It matches the Rfam family "Bacterial small subunit ribosomal RNA", at positions 28 to 507 of the family's 1533-position model. The record is from RNAcentral.